ACGGUCAUCGCGUAUUGAAAGGGUGUCCGACGUGGAGGUGAGGAGGAGGACGAGAAUCUUGAAUUCUGAGUGAAAAGGAAGGCGCGACGAUGGCGAGGAAAGCGAAGAGCGGCGGAGGAGAGGGAGCGAGGGGCGGCCAGGGUCAUCCUCGCCGCUAAUUUGCUGACACGGGGGCAUCGGGGGAAGCCCGGACCGCGAAGAAGAUUGUUUCUUCAAGAAGCGGGGCGAGCUGCGAAGGGAACAAAAGUG
This 249-nucleotide long non-coding RNA is filed under the name Takifugu rubripes (torafugu). RNAcentral's name for it is "lncRNA (ENSTRUG00000029507.1)". The record is from RNAcentral. Lineage: Eukaryota; Metazoa; Chordata; Actinopteri; Tetraodontiformes; Tetraodontidae.